GUGCUUGUUUUGGCAGCACAUAUUCUAAAAAUUGAAACAAUACAGAGAAGAUUAACAUGGCCCCUGGGCAAGGAUGACAUGCAAAUUCAUGAAGCAUUCUGUAUUUUU
RNAcentral lists this small nuclear RNA (108 nucleotides) under Chinchilla lanigera (long-tailed chinchilla). Lineage: Eukaryota; Metazoa; Chordata; Mammalia; Rodentia; Chinchillidae. The record is from RNAcentral.